GGCUCGAGGACGACGCUGGCGGCGUGCCUAAUACAUGCAAGUCGAACGGUCUUUCUAUGGAAGCUUGCUUCCACUGAGAAGAUAGUGGCGGAACGGGUGAGUAACACGGUGGGUAACCUGCCCAUAAGGAGGGGGGAUAACAUCCGGGAAACGGGUGCUAAUACCGCAUAGUUUUCUUGAUCGCAUGAUACGGGAAAGGAAAGACGGCCUUUGUGCUGUCGCUUAUGGAUGGACCCGCGGCGUAUUAGUUAGUUGGUGAGGUAACGGCUCACCAAGACGAUGAUACGUAGCCGACCUGAGAGGGUGAUCGGCCACAUUGGGACUGAGACACGGCCCAAACUCCGUACGGGAGGCAGCAGGUAGGGAAUCUUCCGCAAUGGACGAAAGUCUGACGGAGCAACGCCGCGUGAGUGAAGUAAAGGGUUUUCGGAUCGUAAAACUCUGUUGUCAGAGAAGAACAAGUUGGAGAGUAACUGCUCCAGCCUUGACGGUAUCUGACCAGAAAGCCACGGCUAACUACGUGCCAGCCGCGGC
Molecule: ribosomal RNA, 534 nt
Filed under: uncultured bacterium
Lineage: Bacteria
Description: bacterial SSU rRNA
Rfam family: Bacterial small subunit ribosomal RNA
Source: RNAcentral